CGUAGAGAAAUCGAGUCUUAAUAGGGCGUUUAGUUGCUGGGUAUAGACCCGAAACCAGGCGAUCUAUCCAUGAGCAGGUUGAAGGUUGGGUAACACUAACUGGAGGACCGAACCCACUGUCGUUGAAAAGCCAGGGGAUGACUUGUGGAUAGGGGUGAAAGGCUAAUCAAGCCUGGUGAUAGCUGGUUCUCCCCGAAAGCUAUUUAGGUAGCGCCUCGGACGAAUACCAUAGGGGGUAGAGCACUGUUUCGGCUAGGGGGUCAUCCCGACUUACCAAACCGAUGCAAACUCCGAAUACCUAUGAGUACUAUCCGGGAGACAGACUGCGGGUGCUAACGUCCGUAGUCAAGAGGAAAACAAUCCAGACCGCCAGCUAAGGCCCCAAAAUCAUAGUUAAGUGGGAAACGAUGUGGGAAGGCAUAGACAGCUAGGAGGUUGGCUUAGAAGCAGCCACCCUUUAAAGAAAGCGUAAUAGCUCACUAGUCGAGUCGGCCUGCGCGGAAGAUGUAACGGGGCUAAAACUAUGUGCCGAAGCUGCGGAUGUAUACUUUGUAUACGUGGUAGGGGAGCGUUCUGUAAGCCGAUGAAGGUGUGUUGAGAAGCAUGCUGGAGGUAUCAGAAGUGCGAAUGCUGACGUGAGUAACGACAAAACGGGUGAAAAACCCGUUCGCCGAAAGACCAAGGGUUCCAGUCCAACGUUAAUCGGGGCUGGGUGAGUCGACCCCUAAGGCGAGGCCGAAAGGCGUAGUCGAUGGGAAAAUGGUUAAUAUUCCAUUACUUCUGUGUAAUGCGAUGAGAGGACGGAGAAGGCUAAAUCAGCCUGGCGUUGGUUGUCCAGGUGAAAGGAUGUAGGCAUGUAUCUUAGGCAAAUCCGGGGUACUCUAUGCUGAGAUCUGAUAGCAAGCUGUACUUGUACAGCGAAGUGGUUGAUGCCAUGCUUCCAGGAAAAGUCUCUAAGCUUCAGUUACACAGGAAUCGUACCCGAAACCGACACAGGUGGUCAGGUCGAGUAGACCAAGGCGCUUGAGAGAACUCUGCUGAAGGAACUAGGCAAAAUGGUACCGUAACUUCGGGAGAAGGUACGCUGUUGUUGGUGAUGGAACUCGCUUCCUGAGCUGACGACAGCCGCAGAAACCAGGCCGCUGCAACUGUUUAUUAAAAACAUAGCACUCUGCAAACACGAAAGUGGACGUAUAGGGUGUGAUGCCUGCCCGGUGCUGGAAGGUUAAUUGAUGGGGUUAGCGUAAGCGAAGCUCUUGAUCGAAGCCCCAGUAAACGGCGGCCGUAACUAUAACGGUCCUAAGGUAGCGAAAUUCCUUGUCGGGUAAGUUCCGACCUGCACGAAUGGCAUAAUGAUGGCGGCGCUGUCUCCAGCAGAGGCUCAGUGAAAUCGAAAUCGCUGUGAAGAUGCAGUGUACCCGCGGCUAGACGGAAAGACCCCGUGAACCUUUACUGCAGCUUGACACUGAACUUUGACCUUACUUGUGUAGGAUAGGUGGGAGGCUUUGAAGCUGGAACGCUAGUUCCAGUGGAGCCGUCCUUGAAAUACCACCCUGGUAAUGUUGAGGUUCUAACUCUGUCCCGUGAUCCGGGACGAGGACCGUGUCUGGUGGGUAGUUUGACUGGGGCGGUCUCCUCCUAAAGAGUAACGGAGGAGUACGAAGGUGCGCUCAGCGUGGUCGGAAAUCACGCGUAGAGUAUAAAGGCAAAAGCGCGCUUAACUGCGAGACCCACAAGUCGAGCAGGUACGAAAGUAGGUCUUAGUGAUCCGGUGGUUCUGUAUGGAAGGGCCAUCGCUCAACGGAUAAAAGGUACUCUGGGGAUAACAGGCUGAUACCGCCCAAGAGUUCAUAUCGACGGCGGUGUUUGGCACCUCGAUGUCGGCUCAUCUCAUCCUGGGGCUGAAGCAGGUCCCAAGGGUAUGGCUGUUCGCCAUUUAAAGAGGUACGCGAGCUGGGUUUAGAACGUCGUGAGACAGUUCGGUCCCUAUCUACCGUGGGCGCUGGAAAUUUGAGAGGAUCUGCUCCUAGUACGAGAGGACCAGAGUGGACGAACCUCUGGUGUACCGGUUGUGACGCCAGUCGCAUCGCCGGGUAGCUAUGUUCGGAAGGGAUAACCGCUGAAAGCAUCUAAGCGGGAAGCCUACCUCAAGAUAAGAUUUCCCUAGGACUUUAUGUCCUCUAAAGAGCCGUUCGAGACUAGGACGUUGAUAGGUUGGAUGUGGAAGCAUAGUGAUAUGUGAAGCUGACCAAUACUAAUUGCUCGUGAGGCUUGACUAUACAACACCCAAGCAGUUG
This 2297-nucleotide ribosomal RNA is filed under the name Acinetobacter baumannii. RNAcentral's name for it is "partial 23S ribosomal RNA". It matches the Rfam family "Bacterial large subunit ribosomal RNA", at positions 667 to 2925 of the family's 2925-position model. The record is from RNAcentral. Lineage: Bacteria; Pseudomonadati; Pseudomonadota; Gammaproteobacteria; Moraxellales; Moraxellaceae.